RNAcentral lists this unclassified non-coding RNA (460 nucleotides) under uncultured fungus. Its description in RNAcentral is "partial contains small subunit ribosomal RNA, internal transcribed spacer 1, and 5.8S ribosomal RNA". The stretch from base 1 to 73 matches the Rfam family "Eukaryotic small subunit ribosomal RNA", at positions 1759 to 1831 of the family's 1831-position model. Lineage: Eukaryota; Fungi. The record is from RNAcentral.
ACAAACUUGGUCAUUUAGAGGAAGUAAAAGUCGUAACAAGGUUUCCGUAGGUGAACCUGCGGAAGGAUCAUCACUGAGAUCAGGGGUGUGCGGCGGCGGCAGCAGCAGUGUGCUUGCGCGCGCUCUGCUUUGCUGCUGCGCCCCCAACCAAUCUUGUGUGCACUGUUUACCCCUUUUCCACAAAGUCAAGGGAGAGGAGACACGCAUCGCAUACCACGACACGCGUGGCAGCUUGUGUUGUGAGUUGGCAAGUUAGUGUUGUGUGCGCGGUCGCGCGCGUAUGCAACCGCUUGCCAACCACGCACGCGCGCCAUGCCGUGUUGUGCGCGGCGUGUGUUCUUCUUUCUUGUUCUUUAUUAUAAUCUCUUGUAAAUUAUUGUCUAACUUUGUGUAUACAAUUAACAUGAACACAACUUUCAACAAUGGAUCUCUUGGCUCUCGCAUCGAUGAAGAACGCAGC